RNAcentral lists this long non-coding RNA (246 nucleotides) under Physcomitrium patens. RNAcentral describes it as "long non-coding RNA (PPAT_LNC008458)". Lineage: Eukaryota; Viridiplantae; Streptophyta; Bryopsida; Funariales; Funariaceae. The record is from RNAcentral.
AGAUCUACAUCUAGAUCUUAAUUUGCUCUUACUUGUGAUUAAGAGCAUUUUGGUGUUGGUAUUUGGUUUUAUUUACUUAAAGGCAAAGUUUGCAUUGUGCUAUUGUUGAGAUAGAUCCUUGGUAAUCUAACUUAAUAAUUUCAUGUCCUAAAGUUUUUGAUUGUACUUAGAAGGCCUUUUAUAGUAUAUAGAGGUGAUUUGUGAGCAUAAGAGAGAUAUUAGAAUGGCAAGUCAGAUCUAAGACAC